Molecule: transfer RNA, 74 nt
Filed under: Natronomonas gomsonensis
Lineage: Archaea; Methanobacteriati; Methanobacteriota; Halobacteria; Halobacteriales; Natronomonadaceae
Also listed under: 1 other name
Description: tRNA-Lys
Rfam family: tRNA
About the family: Transfer RNA (tRNA) molecules are approximately 80 nucleotides in length. Their secondary structure includes four short double-helical elements and three loops (D, anti-codon, and T loops). Further hydrogen bonds mediate the characteristic L-shaped molecular structure. tRNAs have two regions of fundamental functional importance: the anti-codon, which is responsible for specific mRNA codon recognition, and the 3' end, to which the tRNAs corresponding amino acid is attached (by aminoacyl-tRNA synthetases). tRNAs cope with the degeneracy of the genetic code in two manners: having more than one tRNA (with a specific anti-codon) for a particular amino acid; and 'wobble' base-pairing, i.e. permitting non-standard base-pairing at the 3rd anti-codon position.
Source: RNAcentral
GGGCCGAUAGCUCAGUCCGGCAGAGCAUCUGGCUUUUAACCAGAUGGCCGGGGGUUCAAAUCCCUCUCGGCCCG